This 1119-nucleotide long non-coding RNA is filed under the name Marmota monax (woodchuck). Lineage: Eukaryota; Metazoa; Chordata; Mammalia; Rodentia; Sciuridae. The record is from RNAcentral.
GCUUCACUGGCUGGUGAUUUGUGCCCAGCCAGACUGCGGCAUAUUUUCAUUCAUAGCUUCCAUGCUGACACUGUUAAAACAUAGUAAGAAUUGUUUGAAGUCAGUUUCUUCUAGCAGGAUUCCCCACUUCUGCUCUCAACAAGGGGAGACAUACAAGGGAAAACUGCAUCUAGCACUCUAGCAGGUGGUCUGCCCAAAGGGGAUCCUGCCUAAUGGGGAACAGGAGAGAGGGCAGGACCUGUAGUUGACAUGUUUCCUAAUUACUCUUAGUGCCAAGCUCAGGGAUGGCUAUCCUACGCAAGCUGACUCAUUUAAUUCUGAAAACAGCUACAAAAGAAGUGAUAUCAUUCCCACUUUGAAAAAAGGUAAACCUAGGUUCAGAAGGAUGGAGUCAAGGCCACACAGCACUCUACCUUUGGAUUUAAACGCGGAUCAAACCAAUUAUAAAAACCUCACCAUUUCUAUGAUUCCACACAGUGCCAGUUCCUGCUUAUAUUAUCAGCUGUGUCUUAAAAUAUUAAGGCAGAAGGCUUAGCACUUUAAGGGUCUAAUCAUCAGAGAACCUACACAGGAGCCUGCAUGCAUAAGGGCAUAACAGGACAUUGGCAUUCUGAUGAAGGAAAAUGAAGAGGAAGCUGGAGUGUCAUAGGUCUGAUAUGCUUUAAAACAAGAAAUCUUUAAGCUAAUAACAACAAAUUAAAAAUAGCCAAAAUAAGGUUAUAUCUCAUUUCAGAGGCAAUUUCCAAACUUUCCAGACUACAAUACAACUUUUUAAAAAUGAAGAUUAAAUUCAAAUACAGUAAAAUGCACAGAUAUUAAGUGUAGGUUUCAUGGUUUGCUAAAUGUUUAUACUGGUGUAAUUCAACCUGCUAUCAAAAUAUAGAACACUUCCAUCAUCCCACAAAGUUCUCUCAUGUCCCUUCCUUGUCAAUACCUUUCAGCCCCAGGCAAACCACUACUCUGAUUUCUAUCCCAUUAUUUACACUGCUUCUAGAACUUCAUAUAAAUGGAAUCUGACAGCAUGUUCUUCUUUAGCUCAGCAUAAAGUUUUUUAGACCUAUACAAUUUGAUUUAUGAAUCAGCAGUUCAUUUCAAUGAAUUUGCCUACUAGUAUUCAGC